CGACGCCGCGUGUGGGAUGAAUGUCUUCGGAUUGUAAACCACUUUCAGUAGGGACGAAAUUGACGGUACCUACAGAAGAAGCCCCGGCCAACUACGUGC
This 99-nucleotide ribosomal RNA is filed under the name uncultured bacterium. RNAcentral's name for it is "partial 16S ribosomal RNA". It matches the Rfam family "Bacterial small subunit ribosomal RNA", at positions 392 to 508 of the family's 1533-position model. The record is from RNAcentral.